Molecule: ribosomal RNA, 345 nt
Filed under: uncultured eukaryote
Lineage: Eukaryota
Description: SSU rRNA
Rfam family: Eukaryotic small subunit ribosomal RNA
Source: RNAcentral
AUAGCGUAUAUUAAAGUUGUUGCAGUUAAAAAGCUCGUAGUUGAAUCUUGGGCCUGGCUGGCAGGUCCGCCUCACCGCGUGUACUUGUCCGGCCGGGCCUUCUCUUCUGGAGAACCUCAUGCCCUUCAUUGGGUGUUUGGGGGACCAGGACUUUUACUUUGAAAAAAUUAGAGUGUUCAAAGCAGGCCUUUGCUCGAAUACGUUAGCAAGGAAUAAUAAAAUAGGACGUGCGGUCCUAUUUUGUUGGUUUCUAGGACCGCCGUAAUGAUUAAUAGGGACAGUCGGGGGCAUCAGUAUUCAAUUGUCAGAGGUGAAAUUCUUGGAUUGAUUGAAGACUAACUACUG